This 329-nucleotide ribosomal RNA is filed under the name uncultured eukaryote. Its description in RNAcentral is "partial 18S ribosomal RNA". It matches the Rfam family "Eukaryotic small subunit ribosomal RNA", at positions 1470 to 1796 of the family's 1831-position model. The record is from RNAcentral.
CCCUUAGAUGUUCUGGGCCGCACGCGCGCUACACUGACGAUGGCAACGAGUUUUUCCUUCGCCGAAAGGUGUGGGUAAUCUUUUGAAACAUCGUCGUGCUGGGGAUAGAUCAUUGCAAUUUUUGAUCUUGAACGAGGAAUUCCUAGUAAGCGCGAGUCAUCAGCUCGCGUUGAUUACGUCCCUGCCCUUUGUACACACCGCCCGUCGCUACUACCGAUUGAAUGGUUUAGUGAGGACUCCUGAUUGGCGCCGCCGCCCCGGCGACGGAGCAGCGGACUGCCGAAAAGUUGUUCAAACUUGAUCAUUUAGAGGAAGUAAAAGUCGUAACA